Molecule: unclassified non-coding RNA, 520 nt
Filed under: Hevea brasiliensis (rubber tree)
Lineage: Eukaryota; Viridiplantae; Streptophyta; Magnoliopsida; Malpighiales; Euphorbiaceae
Source: RNAcentral
AGAGAAAAAAAAAAAAUUAAAAACUAAAAAGAUAAGUCGCAUGUUUUAUUGGUAACAGAUACAAAACAAGGAAAUGAUUAACUUCAUCUAAAUGAUGCUUCUAAAUAGUUUUUUGGUAUGACACUUUUUUAAGCACCCUUUACAAUAGCGCCCAGGCAAAAAUCCUGUAUUUGGUCAUUCAUGGUUAUACUCAAAAUCAAUUUCAACAUUUCCUUACCGCUAAUGUUCUCCUUGAAGAGUUAACCUGCAAAUGUCAUAACCCUAUCAUUAAGUUCCUUUUUAAAUAGGUUAACUAACAAAACUUUCACUGAUGAUAAACUUUUCUCCUUACUGAGCGGUUGUUAUAAGCUGCUUGCUGCUUCCUUACAACAAUGCAUAACCAGGACGAUCCAUGACCUCACACUUGUACCUCAUGAAUUUCGUGACAUCAAUGGGUUUUAUCAGGUCGAGAAAAAUUACAUGGUUCAAUUACUCACUAAACAAAACAUCCAGAAGGUAGAAGUUGAAUCUUCAUUUCUUG